This 847-nucleotide long non-coding RNA is filed under the name Cyanistes caeruleus (blue tit). RNAcentral describes it as "lncRNA (ENSCCEG00000024240.1)". Lineage: Eukaryota; Metazoa; Chordata; Aves; Passeriformes; Paridae. The record is from RNAcentral.
CUGGAGCUGAGUCAUUUCAUCUGCCUGGCACUGGAACACGCACAGAGCAGCUCUGCAAUGCGGAGCAGGCACAGGGCGAGCGAACAACCUCGAUCUUACAGGAGAAUUUCCCUGUGUGUGGAAAUACAAUGAGCUUCUCCACUCAUCUCAAGAUGCUUUUGUGAGGAUGCACAACUCUCUGGCACAGACGGAGCCUCACAGAGCGACCUUGCACAAGAUGUGUUGCUACAAGGAGAAGGGUUUAGAUAUGACCAACAGCUGCCAAAGAAGAAUUUGUCUGGCAUCGAGAAAUGAAGGCAGAGCAGAACAUGUGUCCCUCAAAAGACAAAGUACAUGACCCUGGCAGUAUUUCCACUUGCCCAACCAAGCAAUGGAAAGAAAGAAAUGGCCUCAAAUCCAUUAUUGCUAUACCACACUUCUUCCAAAUGGAAAAGGGGUGCUUCUCUUUACCAUGCACCAAGCCUGGCUUCCAGAAGAGAAUGGAACGAACAGAUUUGGAGAGUUAACACUCAGGCUGACCCAAAACAGUGCCAUGGUUCAUUAGCAAAUUAGAGUUUUAAACCCAACAAUUCCUACAGCAGUAACAGCAGGGCAGGAUAUAUUCUUCUGAGAAGUUUAAAAGAAAAUGCUGCCCAGACUACUGAGAUUGCUGGCCAGACCUAGAGGGCUCUUGUACCAUUGCUAUCAUCUGUGCUGAUGCACACAGUUCUUGUGGCAGAACUUUGUUCAGUAGAGAUAAAACAGGUGUACUCUAUGCCCAGCAUUCAGGUUCCUGAGUGCAUUGCCCUUCUUUUUGUCCCUUGUCUUUGUAAAGCUUUAUAUAAUAAAUUUUGUUGGAUCACUUCCA